AGCAUGUGGUUUAAUUCGAAGCAACGCGAAGAACCUUACCAGGUCUUGACAUCCCGAUGCUAUUUCUAGAGAUAGAAAGUUACUUCGGUACAUCGGUGACAGGUGGUGCAUGGUUGUCGUCAGCUCGUGUCGUGAGAUGUUGGGUUAAGUCCCGCAACGAGCGCAACCCCUAUUGUUAGUUGCCAUCAUUCAGUUGGGCACUCUAGCGAGACUGCCGGUAAUAAACCGGAGGAAGGUGGGGAUGACGUCAAAUCAUCAUGCCCCUUAUGACCUGGGCUACACACGUGCUACAAUGGCCGGUACAAAGAGUUGCGAAACUGUGAAGUUAAGCUAAUCUCAUAAAGCCGGUCUCAGUUCGGAUUGUAGUCUGCAACUCGACUACAUGAAGUCGGAAUCGCUAGUAAUCGCGAAUCAGAAUGUCGCGGUGAAUACGUUCUCGAGUCUU
RNAcentral lists this ribosomal RNA (445 nucleotides) under uncultured Streptococcus sp. RNAcentral describes it as "bacterial SSU rRNA". It matches the Rfam family "Bacterial small subunit ribosomal RNA", at positions 936 to 1382 of the family's 1533-position model. The record is from RNAcentral. Lineage: Bacteria; Bacillati; Bacillota; Bacilli; Lactobacillales; Streptococcaceae.